Molecule: long non-coding RNA, 1632 nt
Organism: Mauremys reevesii (Reeves's turtle)
Lineage: Eukaryota; Metazoa; Chordata; Testudines; Geoemydidae
Exons: 3
Source: RefSeq, a predicted model, not a curated record
GCCGGUAGAGGGAGAAGGGCCUUGCUGCAGGGAGCUGAGAUAGAGUACCUGGGUGGAGCAGGCCUGGAGAAAGGCUGGGGAGCUCUGGCCUGGAAAACCCCAGGCUGUGGCCUAGGAUAAAGCCAACAGAUCGCAAGUCAAAAGACAGUUUUUCUAAGUGCCAGCUCUGCAAACUCAACCUGUCAGGUGGAGAUAAAGCUGUGUUCUUUCUGCCUCUGAUGUCCUCAUGAAGAUUCCACACUCAGGACUUAGGGAGGAAAACAAAAUACAGCGCUUGAUCGUGGAACUCCCAUUGAAGUCAUUCAGAACGGGUCAUCUGAAGGCCGUGACCGAAGUACAUCUGAGAAGAAGAGGAUCAGACAGUCCCUUUGUUCUGAAAAGGAUCUCUCCUCUCUUGCCUCAGGGUCCAGUCGCUACCUAACUCUUAUGCCGCUUGGGUUCCUGUUACGAGCCAUAUAUGUACAACAAGGUGUAUAUUUUGUGCUACCCGCUGCAGUGUGGAGAUGGAGGAACCUGGCUGCAGAGACAAAGCGAGAAAGAUAUGUCAGACUGGCCAUCAGGAUGAGAAUUGACAGUGGGAUUCUCAUGCCCUCACAUCCCAUUGGAAUUUUAGCCUAUUCGGAUCUCAGCUUUACCCUCAGUUCUGUUACCAUUCCAGCUCGGCUAAUACAGGAAAUAAUACAACACAUUGCCAUCCCUGCAUUUCAUUUAGCUCCUGACAUCAGAAAUCUAAAGCAGUGUACAGUGAGAUUGCUGAAGGACUAGAUCUAUGGGGAUUCAGUCUGGUUUAUUUUCAAAUGUGAUUGCUGAACAUUAUCCAGGUUUGAUGGGAAAAAGAUUAAGGAGCGAAUGUAAAUCUUGUGCUAUCAUUUUAUUUGUGCACAGACAUACAUUUUUAAACUCAGACAGCCCUUAACAAGAAGCAACAUGAUCCUCCUUAGACUUGUUUCUGAGCUUUACUGGUGAAGUUCUUUGAUUAUGAUAGUUUCCAUGCUGCCUACAGUUUCAGUGCAACUUUGACUGCGGGCUGCCACUGUCAAGAUUUCUCUUUGAACAAAAUUGGCAUCUCAGCAGAUUAUGUUGCCUAAGGAUUUGAAUAAAUCCCAGUUAGUAUGGACAUUAAAAAAUGGAUUUUGGAUGCUGCUCACUGCAUUACAGUAAGGGGCCUUUGAAAAAUGUAAUUGUGUUCAAAAUCCCACAUUCAUUCUCUCUCCCCCCCCGAUGAAGAUUUCUGGAUAAUUGACUGGUUGCUUUAAGUAGUGCCAUGAAACUGCUUUUGGAAGUUUGACGAUAACUCUGGAGUUUGCUUUUGAUUAGUGACACAAUGUGAGAAAUACAUUGAAAAUACACAUUACCCACUCAGAGCACCAUCCCAAUCGCCUAACACCACUAGCCAGGGGUAACCUUCCCCUACAUGACACCGGGACAGAGUAGUCCUUUGAAUAUGUUUCAGGCCUUAUCUUACUCCUAUUGGAGUUAAUGGGAAGUGUCCUACUGAUUUCACAAGGAGCAGGAUUGAGACUAUAAAACAUCUCAUCACUUCUCUAGUUAGGGAGCUGAGCUUGAAGUUGGAACGAUAGACAUAUAAAACUUUCGGAAAGAAUGAAAACUCUUCUGGGUACAUUUGGGGCA